UGACGUAGGCAGCGAGCGUUGUUCGGAAUUACUGGGCGUAAAGAGUGUGUAGGCGGUGCUCUAAGUUCGGUGUGAAAUCUCCGUGGCUCAACUGGGAGGGUGCGCCGGAAACUGGAGUGCUUGAGCGUGGGAGAGGAAAGCGGAAUUCCUGGAUGUAGCGGUGAAAUGCGUAGAUAUCAGGAGGAACACCGAUGGCGAAGGCAGAUCUCUGGGCCGUAACUGACGCUGAGGAGCGAAAGCGUGGGGAGCGAACAGG
Molecule: ribosomal RNA, 256 nt
Filed under: uncultured bacterium
Lineage: Bacteria
Description: partial 16S ribosomal RNA
Rfam family: Bacterial small subunit ribosomal RNA
Source: RNAcentral